UACGUAGGGUGCGAGCGUUAAUCGGAAUUACUGGGCGUAAAGCGUGCGCAGGCGGUUCGUGAUUUCUGGUGUGAAAGCCCCGGGCUUAACCUGGGAAUUGCAUUGGAAACUAGCGGGCUGGAGUGUGGCAGAGGGGGGUGGAAUUCCACGUGUAGCAGUGAAAUGCGUAGAGAUGUGGAGGAACACCGAUGGCGAAGGCAGCCCCCUGGGCUAACACUGACGCUCAUGCACGAAAGCGUGGGGAGCAAACAGG
Molecule: ribosomal RNA, 253 nt
Filed under: uncultured bacterium
Lineage: Bacteria
Description: partial 16S ribosomal RNA
Rfam family: Bacterial small subunit ribosomal RNA
Source: RNAcentral